RNAcentral lists this ribosomal RNA (253 nucleotides) under uncultured bacterium. Its description in RNAcentral is "partial 16S ribosomal RNA". It matches the Rfam family "Bacterial small subunit ribosomal RNA", at positions 524 to 776 of the family's 1533-position model. The record is from RNAcentral.
UACGUAGGGUGCGAGCGUUGUCCGGAAUUAUUGGGCGUAAAGAGCUCGUAGGCGGCUUGUCGCGUCGGAUGUGAAAGCCCGGGGCUUAACUCCGGGUCUGCAUUCGAUACGGGCAGGCUAGAGUUCGGCAGGGGAGACUGGAAUUCCUGGUGUAGCGGUGAAAUGCGCAGAUAUCAGGAGGAACACCGGUGGCGAAGGCGGGUCUCUGGGCCGUUACUGACGCUGAGGAGCGAAAGCGUGGGGAGCGAACAGG